Molecule: ribosomal RNA, 335 nt
Filed under: Salmonella enterica
Lineage: Bacteria; Pseudomonadati; Pseudomonadota; Gammaproteobacteria; Enterobacterales; Enterobacteriaceae
Description: partial 23S ribosomal RNA
Source: RNAcentral
GGUUAAGCGACUAAGCGUACACGGUGGAUGCCCUGGCAGUCAGAGGCGAUGAAGGRCGUGCUAAUCUGCGAUAAGCGCCGGUAAGGUGAUAUGAACCGUUAUAACCGGCGAUWYCCGAAUGGGGAAACCCAGUGUGAUUCGUCACACUAUCAUUAACUGAAUCCAUAGGUUAAUGAGGCGAACCGGGGGAACUGAAACAUCUAAGUACCCCGAGGAAAAGAAAUCAACCGAGAUUCCCCCAGUAGCGGCGAGCGAACGGGGAGGAGCCCAGAGCCUGAAUCAGCAUGUGUGUUAGUGGAAGCGUCUGGAAAGGCGCGCGAUACAGGGUGACAGCC